Non-coding RNA from Burkholderia cenocepacia J2315, 103 nucleotides. The record is from Rfam. Lineage: Bacteria; Pseudomonadati; Pseudomonadota; Betaproteobacteria; Burkholderiales; Burkholderiaceae.
GGGCAGGAUAGGUGAAGUUAGCUAACCGGCGAAGCCGGAUAUCUACCUUCACAUCCCUUAUUCGCACCUACGGCGCUCAACGGGAAUCCUGCUCUGCGAGGCA